AUACGGAGGAUGCAAGCGUUAUCCGGAUUUAUUGGGUUUAAAGGGUGCGUAGGCGGGACUGUAAGUCAGGGGUGAAAUACUGCAGCUUAACUGUAGCAUUGCCUUUGAAACUGCCGUUCUUGAGUACAGUUGAGGUAGGCGGAAUGUGGUGUGUAGCGGUGAAAUGCAUAGAUAUACCACAGAACGCCGAUUGCGAAGGCAGCUUACUAAGCUGUUACUGACGCUGAGGCACGAAAGCGUGGGGAUCAAACAGGAUUAGAUACCCUGGUAGUCCACGCUGUAAACGAUGAUUACUGGUUGUUAGCGAUAUAUAGCUAGUGACUGAGCGAAAGCAUUAAGUAAUCCACCUGGGGAGUACGUCGGCAACGAUGAAACUCAAAUGAAUUGACGGG
Molecule: ribosomal RNA, 392 nt
Filed under: uncultured bacterium
Lineage: Bacteria
Description: partial 16S ribosomal RNA
Rfam family: Bacterial small subunit ribosomal RNA
Source: RNAcentral